AAUGGCAAAGUUAACAGUUUUCCUUGCUGAAUUUAUCACUCAUUUUUAAUAACAGAUGAUUGGCAUGUCAAUGCUAGCUUACAGUGGAACUCAGCUGUAAGGAUUGAAACAUGUUAGCCCCGAUGCUAACUGAUUCUGAGAUUAAUUAAUCGGUAAUGUUUGAUAUCAGAAUGAUGUUAACUACUGUUCUGGCUAUAUAUGGGCCCUAUGAGGAUCUGGAUCAGUCCACGGGUGCUUCUGGUCACGGCUAUGCUCUGUGAAGUGGGGGGGCUCUCAGCUGGCACCGCAGGGCAGGACCCAGGGUUGUUGGAGGCAGACUGGGGCUCUAUGGCACUGCCAUCUGCUGCUGAGUGAGGAGAGAUGAUGAAAGAUUCAGAGGCUGGGACUCACUCAUCUGUUAUCGAUUAUGCUACAGAUGUGCGAGCAUCCCGCUCAGAGAUGGACAGGCCAGAAGGGAGCCGUGACUAAGGGAAGCUGCCAAAUGUGACGCUACAAUACAAUUGUUUUUGGAUUACAGACUUUGCAGACAUAACAACACAUACACAUACGUAAUACCAGAGUCAUACCCUGGUUGUUACUCUAGGACUUACAGUAAAUACCAAAACGUGGUUAAAGGACAAAUAUAAACACAUUAUAUGACUACAUCUUCUAAUGUCCCUAUAAGGUCUAAUACCAGAAACCUAUACUAGUGCACAUUUAUGUGCAUUUAUGCACUGAUCUAGAUCAAACACAGCACCUGAAGCUUGUAAAAACAUAUCAUACAAAUUGGAAUUGAAUUCUCCUGGUACAUAUAAUUUGCUGUUGUUUCAUUUCUAACACUGUCUAAACCCUGAAUAGGAUAGUAUUUAUAGAAGUCUGUAACACAUCUAGGACUUCCACAGGGCCAAAGCGACUUUUACUGACAAAACUGGU
Astyanax mexicanus (Mexican tetra) is the source of this 912-nucleotide long non-coding RNA. RefSeq lists it as uncharacterized. NCBI's taxonomy places the organism in Eukaryota, Metazoa, Chordata, Actinopteri, Characiformes, Acestrorhamphidae. The record is from RefSeq and is a predicted model, not a curated record. The transcript has 4 exons.